Molecule: small nuclear RNA, 161 nt
Organism: Mustela lutreola (European mink)
Lineage: Eukaryota; Metazoa; Chordata; Mammalia; Carnivora; Mustelidae
Product: U4atac minor spliceosomal RNA
Exons: 1
Source: RefSeq, a predicted model, not a curated record
ACCAUCCUUUUCUUGGGGUUGCGUUACUGUCCAAUGAACGUCUAGUGAGGGCAGUACUGCUAACGCCUGGAUAAUUGUGGCAAAGAAAAUUGUAUGUCCUGAGAACAUGAUUAUAUAACUGUUAAAUCAUUUAUAUGUUGCAUUUAUGUAUUUAUGCAUAA